Molecule: long non-coding RNA, 443 nt
Filed under: Anser brachyrhynchus (Pink-footed goose)
Lineage: Eukaryota; Metazoa; Chordata; Aves; Anseriformes; Anatidae
Description: lncRNA (ENSABRG00000005179.1)
Source: RNAcentral
CCUUUAAUGAUGUGAUGUGCCUUCACUGUUUUGUUAACAUAAGGUGUUGUGUCCAUCUUACAGGGUGCAAGAUAGGCUAAAAAUCUGCACGGUUUCAAAAAGUGACUGGAAAAAAAAAUCCACUGAAGAAAAUCCUCGGAGGAAAAAAAUCUGUCACAUAGAAAGAUUCCUUCUCAGUUUGAGGAAAUCCUUGAACCACAAAUAGCUGCAGGCUGGGAAGUCAUCCUGGAAGUGUGUCCUGACGGGAUGUGACUGAAGAACUUCGCUUCUUUAUCGGUUAUUGCUGGAAAACCUCUCGUGCAGUCAGUGUGCUGCCCAGAAGGACUCAGUGGAGCUCUGAUCUCCUUAACUCGUGCAGGCCCCAGGGCUUUGAUGUCUUUGUGCCAGCUACAUCGUUCCCCCGGGUCACUGAGGUCCUAACCAAGACACUGCUGUGUGCAUAA